RNAcentral lists this ribosomal RNA (494 nucleotides) under uncultured bacterium. RNAcentral's name for it is "partial 16S ribosomal RNA". It matches the Rfam family "Bacterial small subunit ribosomal RNA", at positions 28 to 507 of the family's 1533-position model. The record is from RNAcentral.
GACGAACGCUGGCGGCGCGCUUAACACAUGCAAGUCGAACGGAAAGGCCUGCUUUCCCUUGUGGAUUGCGGGUACUCGAGUGGCGAACGGGUGAGUAACACGUGAGUGAUCUGCCCCCAACUUGGGUAUAAGCCUGGGAAACUGGGUCUAAUUCCCGAUAGGACUGCAGGGUGGUGCCUGUGGUGGAAAACGAUUUUCUGGUGGUUGGGGAUGAGCUCGCGGCCUAUCAGCUUGUUGGUGGGGUAAUGGCCUACCAAGGCGGCGACGGGUAGCCGGCCUGAGAGGGUGGACGGCCACAUUGGGACUGAGAUACGGCCCAGACUCCUACGGGAGGCAGCAGUGGGGAAUAUUGCACAAUGGGCGGAAGCCUGAUGCAGCGACGCCGCGUGGGGGAUGACGGCCUUCGGGUUGUAAACUCCUUUCGACCGCGAGGAAGCCACCUGGUUGGAAGGGUGGUGACGGUAGUGGUAGAAGAAGCACCGGCUAACUACGUG